CGGGUGCACUGAUCCGGCCGGGCCUUUCCCUCUGUGGAACCCCAUGGCCUUCACUGGCUGUGCGGGGGAAACAGGACUUUUACUGUGAAAAAAUUAGAGUGCUCCAGGCAGGCCUAUGCUCGAAUACAUUAGCAUGGAAUAAUAGAAUAGGACGCGUGGUUCUAUUUUGUUGGUUUCUAGGACCGCCGUAAUGAUUAAUAGGGACAGUCGGGGGCAUCAGUAUUCAAUUGUCAGAGGUGAAAUUCUUGGAUCUAUUGAAGACUAACUACUGCGAAAGCAUUUGCCAAGGAUGUUUUCAUUGAUAAGGAACGAAAGUUAGGGGAUCGAAGACGAUCAGAUACCGUCGUAGUCUUAACUAUAAACUAUGCCGACUAGGGAUCGGGGCGAUGUUAUUUCUUGACGCGUUCGGCACCUUUCGAGAAAUCAAAGUGCUUGGGGCUCCAGGGGGAGUAUGGUCGCAAGGCUGAAACUUAAAAGAAAUUGACGGAAGGGCACCACCCAGGGGGGUGGAACCUUGCGGGCUUUAAUUUGACUCAACCACGGGGGAAACUCACCCAGGUCCAGACACCAAUGAGGAUUGACAGAUUGAGAGCUCUUUCUUGAUUUUGUGGGUGGUGGUGCAUGGCCGUUCUUAGUUGGUGGAGUGAUUUGUCUGCUUAAUUGCGAUAACGAACGAGACCUUAACCUGCUAAAUAGCCCGUACUGCUCUGGCAGUUCGCCGGCUUCUUAGAGGGACUAUCGG
Molecule: ribosomal RNA, 742 nt
Filed under: uncultured eukaryote
Lineage: Eukaryota
Description: SSU rRNA
Rfam family: Eukaryotic small subunit ribosomal RNA
Source: RNAcentral